This 178-nucleotide ribosomal RNA is filed under the name Planctomycetaceae bacterium. RNAcentral describes it as "partial 16S ribosomal RNA". It matches the Rfam family "Bacterial small subunit ribosomal RNA", at positions 1 to 170 of the family's 1533-position model. Lineage: Bacteria; Pseudomonadati; Planctomycetota; Planctomycetia; Planctomycetales; Planctomycetaceae. The record is from RNAcentral.
CAAUUGAAGGGUUUGAUUCUGGCUCAGAAUGAACGUUGGCGGCAUGGAUUAGGCAUGCAAGUCGAGCGAGAAGGGUUCUGAAGCUUGCUUUAGAACCCGGACAGCGGCGAAAGGGAGAGUAACGCGUAGUUAUGUGCCCUAGGGUCCGGAAUAGCCACGGGAAACUGUGGGUAAUGCC